This 250-nucleotide ribosomal RNA is filed under the name uncultured bacterium. RNAcentral's name for it is "partial 16S ribosomal RNA". It matches the Rfam family "Bacterial small subunit ribosomal RNA", at positions 524 to 773 of the family's 1533-position model. The record is from RNAcentral.
GACGAGGGAUCCUAGCGUUGCUCGGAAUCAUUGGGCGUAAAGAGGGCGUAGGUGGCUAAAUAAGUCAGGUGUGAAAGCCCAGGGCUCAACCCUGGAAGUGCAUUUGAUACUGUAUAGCUUGAGUGUUGGAGAGGUUAUCGGAAUACCUAGUGUAGUGGUGAAAUACGUAGAUAUUAGGUGGAACACCGGAGGCGAAGGCGGGUAACUGGCCAAACACUGACACUGAGGCCCGAAAGCAUGGGGAUCAAAC